CCUACGGGAGGCAGCAGUGGGGGAUAUUGCACAAUGGGGGAAACCCUGAUGCAGCGACGCCGCGUGGGUGAAGAAGCGCCUCGGCGCGUAAAGCCCUGUCAGCAGGGACGAAAAUGACGGUACCUGAAGAAGAAGCCCCGGCUAACUACGGGCCAGCAGCCGCGGUAAUACGGAGGGGGCAAGCGUUAUCCGGAUUUACUGGGUGUAAAGGGGGCGCAGACGGCGAUGCAAGCCAGGAGUGAAAGCCCGGGGCCCAACCCCGGGAGUGCUCUUGGAAAUGCGUGGCUAGAGUGCAGGAGGGGCAGGCGGAAUUCCUGGUGUAGCGGUGAAAUGCGUAGAUAUCAGGAGGAACACCGGUGGCGAAGGCGGCCUGCUGGACUGCAACUGACGUUGAGGCCCGAAAGCGUGGGGAGCAAACAGGAUUAGAUACCCUUGUAGUC
This 440-nucleotide ribosomal RNA is filed under the name uncultured bacterium. RNAcentral describes it as "partial 16S ribosomal RNA". It matches the Rfam family "Bacterial small subunit ribosomal RNA", at positions 338 to 795 of the family's 1533-position model. The record is from RNAcentral.